GACGAACGCUGGCGGCGUGCUUAACACAUGCAAGUCGAACGGAAAGGCCCUGCUUUUGUGGGGUGCUCGAGUGGCGAACGGGUGAGUAACACGUGAGUAACCUGCCCUUGACUUUGGGAUAACUUCAGGAAACUGGGGCUAAUACCGGAUAGGAGCUCCUGCUGCAUGGUGGGGGUUGGAAAGUUUCGGCGGUUGGGGAUGGACUGGCGGCUUAGCAGCUUGGUGGUGGGGUAGUGGAGUACCAAGGCGGUGAUGGGUAGCCGGCCUGAGAGGGCGACCGGCGGCAGGGGGACGGAGGCAGGGCCCAGACGCCGGCGGGAGGCAGCAGUGGGGAAGUGUGGACAAGGGGGGGGAGCCGGAUCCAGCAAUGCCGCGUGCGGGAAGAAGGCCGUCGGGUUGUAAACCGCGUUUGUACGGAACGAAAAGGCUCUGGCGAAUACCUGGGGCUGAUGACGGUACCGUAAGAAGAAGCACCGGCUAACUACGUG
RNAcentral lists this ribosomal RNA (488 nucleotides) under uncultured bacterium. RNAcentral's name for it is "partial 16S ribosomal RNA". It matches the Rfam family "Bacterial small subunit ribosomal RNA", at positions 28 to 507 of the family's 1533-position model. The record is from RNAcentral.